AAUCUUUCAGUCAGUUUAAUUGAAGUCUGGAGCUGGCAUGUCAGUUAACUGCUAGUAGUCUGUUGUUAUUUAUGUAUUUUUGUCAUUUUGUUUAUUUUCUUUGGUUACAUCUUCUGACAUCAGACUCGGAUUUCUCUUGAACUGAAUUUUAAUGUGCGUAUUGUUAUGCGUUUACUUUACUACAUUGGUUAGAGGUAUAGGGGGAGGGUUGAGAUCUCACAAACAUGUUUAACCCCGCCGCAUUUUUGCGCCUGUCCCAAGUCAGGAGCCUCUGGCCUUUGUCAGUCUUGUAUUAUUUUAAUUUUAGUUUCUUGUGUACAAUUUGGAAAUUAGUAUGGCGUUCAUUAUCACUGGACUAGUAUAUAUUUGUUUAGGGGCCAGCUGAAGGACGCCUCCGGGUGCGGGAAUUUCUCGCUACAUUGAAGACCUGUUGGUGACCCUCUGCUGUUGUUUUUUUAUUUGGUCGGGUUAUUGUCUCUUUGACACAUUCCCCAUUUCCAUUCUCAAUUUUAUUAUAUGAAAAUUCAUAUAUAAAUAAGACAUAGUUCUAUGUUUCCCCAAACUUGCAUUUUUCGCUGGAUGUUUAAAUAGAUUUAUGAACAAACAAAAUCAUGAACAAAAUCUGGCUGUAUAGUCAUUAUGCUUUAUGUUUUUUUUUGUCUUACAUAUGAAGUGUACGCAUGUAUGCUUUGCUAAAAAUGGUCAAGAAUGGCUGUGUGUUGUGGUGAAAAAAAUAUUUGUUCCAUGAUUUUUUUAAUAUUUUCUUUUUUAUUAUAAUAGUUUUAAUAAAAUUGUGUUUGUAUAUUUUAUAAGACACACCUAUUUUAUAAAUUCAUCAACAAAAUCUGAUUGUAUAGUUUUAAAUACGUGUGUAUGCUUUAGAUUUUUGUCUUAAACGUAAAUUGUACGCAUGUAUGCUACUUCUAAGAAUGAUCAACAUGGCUUUCACUAUACAUAUGUGUUGUGGUGAAAAAAAAUAUUUGUUACAUGAUUUUUUUAAUAUUUUCUUUUUUAUAAUAACACUUUUAAUAAAAUUCUGUUUGUAUAUUUUAUUGAUAUACCUAUUUUAUAAAUUCCGGUUGUCAAUUGUAUGCUUCAAUCAUUGUAAUAGCUUGUGUCAUGAGUGGUAUCGUGGUAGUGUGCUGAAAUCAUGUCUUUUGUACCAGACAAUGCCCAGCUAAAGACUUUAAAACAAGUAUUAGCUGCUACUCCGUCAAAGUGAACGGUAUUUGGAGAAAGAAAGAGCAGAAAUGUGUUGGCUCAGAGGCGAAUACUUACAGAACAUGUAUUUUUAUCUUAAUUAAUCAGUAAGCAUAUUUUUCGUCCUCCUUCGGCUUCUACCUCGAGAAAGAACUACCUUUAAUUUGGCUAAAUUUAAUGCAUUUGUAUAUAGUUUUCUUCUUAUAAUUCACUUUUGAUGUUUACCUUGAAUGAGCAUUUCACUAAAGCUAAAAAUUGCGAGGAUGUACAAAAAUAUUAUGCCUUUUUUGACAAGCUGGCUGUCCUGCUCUAACUGCAUGUUCUGGGUGAUUCUAUGAAUAUUUAUAACUGUAUGUAAAGCUUCUCAUACGCAGCAUCGGGGUUAGAAGUGGCGAAGUCUAAAUAAAAAAUGUUUCGGGUUUUGGAACUGACUAAUAAUAAUAAAACAAUGUUAUAAACGCAAUAUACACAACAAUUUACAAUGCAAAAUAAGCAAAUAUGCUUACAGUAACUUGAAACAAGUACGCAACUUGCUAAUAUAAUAUAGUAUCCCCGGCUUAGUAUAUUUCUAGGAUUUCGAUUGGUUAACGCACGUCGUUACAAAACCCAUGGCCCCUUGGUGUUGCUAACCCAUAUCCCCGGACGUUGCUAACCAUUAUCCCGGGGAACUUCACGCAAGUUUUCCUUAGUUCCAUGAUCCCUCCGCAAAUCUGGACAUUACAAGGUAGAUACGAAGUUUAAAGAAUUUUGAAUUUAAUUUGGUACUCACAUUUUUCCAGAAAUGAGCAGGGACCGAUACUCGCCUUGGUUCAUUACCUCACGUGACAUCUCCACUCCCAACGCGCGUUUUUAUCUUUCAUCUUUAUUCACUUAUUCUAUUUAAAAACAAAAAAGAAUUAAAGGUAUUAAUUAUUAGUUUAUUCUCCGUAUUGUGUUAUAUUUCUUUUGACUCUUUAAAGACACGUUUGGUGUGAUUAUUUUAUGAGCAAAUUUAAAUAAAACACAGAUACCUUAAAAACACUAAAACAAAAACUGAGACUCCCUAUGCAGACCCUCCUUCUUCUUUUUUGUAUAUGUAUCAUUGUAUGUGUUAUCCCUUUUCUUCAUCUAUGAAUUGUGCUAUUCAAAAAUAUAUCAUGGGUCUCACUAAAGGGAAGUUACUCAGUAUUGAAACUUGUUAGUUUUAAAAAAUACAAGUGUCUCUUAUCUUAAUAAAACAAUUUUCUUUUUUUACUUUAAGGAGAACUUUCGUAACUCCUUUUUAUACGACCGCAAAAAUUUUAAUUUUUCGUCGUAUAUUGCUAUCACGUUGGCGUCGUCGUCGUCUUCCUGCGUCGUCGUCGUCCGAAUACUUUUAGUUUUCGCACUCUAACUUCAGUAAAAGUGAAUAGAAAUCUAUGAAAUUUUAACACAAGGUUUAUGACCACAAAAGGAAGGUUGGGAUUGGUUUUGGGAGUUUUGAUCCCAACAUUUUAGGAAUUAGGCCAAAAAGGGCCCAAAUAAGCAUUUUCUUGGUUUUCGCACUAUAACUUUAGUUUAAGUAAAUAGCAAUCAAUGAUAUUUUGACACAAGGUUUAUGACCACAAAAGGAAGGUUGGGAUUGAUUUGGGAGUUUUGGUUCCAACAGUUUAGGAAUUAGGGGCCAAAAAAGGGCCCAAAUAAGCAUUAUUCUUGGUUUUCGCACAAUUUAGUAUAAGUAAAUAGAAAUCAAUGAAAUUUAAACACAAGGUUUAUGACCACAAAAGGAAGGUUGGGAUUGAUUUUGGGAGU
This 2970-nucleotide long non-coding RNA is filed under the name Mytilus galloprovincialis (Mediterranean mussel). Lineage: Eukaryota; Metazoa; Mollusca; Bivalvia; Mytilida; Mytilidae. The record is from RNAcentral.